ACAAACGAAAAACUCAGGUGUGCCACGGGCACUGGUAAGAAAAAUUCAAUUGAAUUGAAUUUACUUUAACACAAAGAAGGAAUUUUCAUGGCGCUGCUAUUGCAAGAAGUAUUCCUCCGAACGUCCGGGAGUACUGAGAUUGUUAAGAAAUCCCGAAAGAAACCAUUAUGGUAACGUAACCAAAAAACCAGCAGCAUUUUAAUAUAAUUAACAUUAUUAUAUCAUACUGUAUUUGAUUACCUAAGAUCAAUGGUCAUACUCAGUAAAAAAUGUUAUUAUAAA
This is a long non-coding RNA of Bombyx mori (domestic silkworm), 282 nucleotides long. RefSeq lists it as uncharacterized. Lineage: Eukaryota; Metazoa; Arthropoda; Insecta; Lepidoptera; Bombycidae. The record is from RefSeq and is a predicted model, not a curated record. The transcript is spliced from 2 exons.